CGUAAGAGCUCCGUUGCUAUAUUAAAGGUAUAAUUGAUAUUAACUGCUCUAACUUUUAACGUAAGAACUUCGUUGCUAAAAUUUACUUCGCAAAUAAUAGUAUAGAUUUGGAUAAUUCUUACUUUUAAUCACUUAUAUUAUUAAAAAGUCAAAUUCGUUUUUAUUUUUUAUUAGUUUAUAUAUUUAAUUUAUUAAGGGCAUAAUUGAUAUUAACCACUCUAACUUUUAACGUAGGAGCUUCGUUGCUAAAAAUUACUUCGCA
This 262-nucleotide long non-coding RNA is filed under the name Brassica napus (rape). RNAcentral's name for it is "long non-coding RNA (BNAP_LNC000993)". The record is from RNAcentral. Lineage: Eukaryota; Viridiplantae; Streptophyta; Magnoliopsida; Brassicales; Brassicaceae.